Molecule: ribosomal RNA, 250 nt
Filed under: Echinococcus granulosus
Lineage: Eukaryota; Metazoa; Platyhelminthes; Cestoda; Cyclophyllidea; Taeniidae
Description: partial 28S ribosomal RNA
Rfam family: Eukaryotic large subunit ribosomal RNA
Source: RNAcentral
CAAUAAGCGGAGGAGAAGAAACCAACCAGGAUUCCCUCAGUAACGGCGAGUGAAGAGGGAGAAGCCCAGCACCGAAGCCUGCGGCGGGUUUGUCGGUAGGCCAUGUGGUGUGUGGGUUGGCUGGCGGGACCGCCGCUCCACUCCAAGUCCAGCAUUGAGUAUGGUAAUGAGUGAAUUUGGCCCACAGAGGGUGAUAGGCCCGUAGGAGUGGGGGCUCAGGCAGGUGAGGCGGUUCACCAGGCCGGCUCAA